RNAcentral lists this unclassified non-coding RNA (314 nucleotides) under plant metagenome. RNAcentral's name for it is "partial contains 5.8S ribosomal RNA, internal transcribed spacer 2, and large subunit ribosomal RNA". The stretch from base 1 to 105 matches the Rfam family "5.8S ribosomal RNA", at positions 50 to 154 of the family's 154-position model. The record is from RNAcentral.
GAAAUGCGAUAAUUAAUGUGAAUUGCAGAAUUCAGUGAAUCAUCGAGUCUUUGAACGCACAUUGCGCCCCUUGGUAUUCCGGGGGGCAUGCCUGUCCGAGCGUCAUUGCUGCCCUCAAGCACGGCUUGUGUGUUGGGCUUCCGUCCCUGGCAACGGGGACGGGCCCAAAAGGCAGUGGCGGCACCAUGUCUGGUCCUCGAGCGUAUGGGGCUUUGUCACCCGCUCCCGUAGGUCCAGCUGGCAGCUAGCCUCGCAACCAAUCUUUUUAACCAGGUUGACCUCGGAUCAGGUAGGGAUACCCGCUGAACUUAAGC